ACGGAGGGGGCUAGCGUUGUUCGGAAUUACUGGGCGUAAAGGGUGCGUAGGCGGCGAUCCAAGUCAGGCGUGAAAGCCCCGGGCUCAACCUGGGAGGUGCGCUUGAUACUGGAUUGCUCGAGUCCGGGAGAGGAUAGCGGAAUUCCCAGUGUAGAGGUGAAAUUCGUAGAUAUUGGGAAGAACACCAGUGGCGAAGGCGGCUAUCUGGACCGGCACUGACGCUGAGGCACGAUAGCGUGGGGAGCAAACAGG
This 252-nucleotide ribosomal RNA is filed under the name uncultured bacterium. RNAcentral's name for it is "partial 16S ribosomal RNA". It matches the Rfam family "Bacterial small subunit ribosomal RNA", at positions 525 to 776 of the family's 1533-position model. The record is from RNAcentral.